GACGAACGCUGGCGGCGUGCCUAAUACAUGCAAGUUGAGCGAUGAAGAUUGGUGCUUGCACCAAUUUGAAGAGCAGCGAACGGGUGAGUAACGCGUGGGGAAUCUGCCUUUGAGCGGGGGACAACAUUUGGAAACGAAUGCUAAUACCGCAUAACAACUUUAAACAUAAGUUUUAAGUUUGAAAGAUGCAAUUGCAUCACUAAAAGAUGAUCCCGCGUUGUAUUAGCUAGUUGGUGAGGUAAAGGCUCACCAAGGCGAAGAUACAUAGCCGACCUGAGAGGGUGGUCGGCCACAUUGGGACUGAGACACGGCCCAAACUCCUACGGGAGGCAGCAGUAGGGAAUCAUCGGCAAUGGACGAAAGUCUGACCGAGCAACGCCGCGUGAGUGAAGAAGGUUUUCGGAUCGUAAAACUCUGUUGGUAGAGAAGAACGUUGGUGAGAGUGGAAAGCUCAUCAAGUGACGGUAACUACACAGAAAGGGACGGCUAACUACGUG
RNAcentral lists this ribosomal RNA (497 nucleotides) under uncultured bacterium. RNAcentral describes it as "partial 16S ribosomal RNA". It matches the Rfam family "Bacterial small subunit ribosomal RNA", at positions 28 to 507 of the family's 1533-position model. The record is from RNAcentral.